This 126-nucleotide small nucleolar RNA is filed under the name Mus caroli (Ryukyu mouse). RNAcentral's name for it is "predicted gene, 25906 (MGP_CAROLIEiJ_G0036653.1)". It matches the Rfam family "Small nucleolar RNA SNORA17". From Rfam's summary of the family: snoRNA ACA 17 belongs to the H/ACA family of snoRNAs and is predicted to guide pseudouridylation of the 28S rRNA at positions U4659 and U4598. It shares the same host gene together with ACA43. NB This family has a high threshold value to exclude a large number of closely related sequences that do not appear to have conserved H and ACA boxes, and may be pseudogenes. The record is from RNAcentral. Lineage: Eukaryota; Metazoa; Chordata; Mammalia; Rodentia; Muridae.
CCAACCCUAAGAGGUGUGCAGGUGUGGCUGCUGUGUCACAUAUGUAUCAGUAGGUGGCAGAGAAGAGACCAUGCUUAGGGUUCUGUUCUGACCUGUGAAUAUCUGAAUGAUUAGUAGCCCAACAGU